UACAGAGGGUGCAAACGUUGCUCGGAAUCAUUGGGCGUAAAGCGCACGUAGGCGGCGCGUUAAGUCGGAUGUGAAAGCCCCGGGCUCAACCCGGGAAGUGCAUACGAAACUGGCGCGCUUGAGUAUGGAAGAGGGUCGCGGAAUUCCCGGUGUAGAGGUGAAAUGCGUAGAUAUCGGGAGGAACACCUGUGGCGAAAGCGGCGCACUGGACCAUAACUGACGCUGAUGCGCGAAAGCUAGGGGAGCAAACAGG
RNAcentral lists this ribosomal RNA (253 nucleotides) under uncultured bacterium. Its description in RNAcentral is "partial 16S ribosomal RNA". It matches the Rfam family "Bacterial small subunit ribosomal RNA", at positions 524 to 776 of the family's 1533-position model. The record is from RNAcentral.